AACAUUAAAACAUUGUUUCCCCUAAUCAGGAAAACUCAUUUCUCUGAUGAAUUGAAAAGCGCUCCUUUCUCUGAUGAACUGAAGAGAAAACAGUCUUCUCUGAUGAACACACUUUUCUCAGAAGCUAAGUCCAAAGAACUGAUCAAGCGAUGAAGCUAAGUCUCUCCGUCACAAAUGAACUGAAGAUAAGUAUCUCCGCAGGAUUUUUUCUCAUAUUUCUUGCUGAAGAACACGAUGACUCACAGGUUUCUCGCUGAAGAACGCGAUCUAUGUUAUAUUUCUCGGCGAAGAACACGAUUUUGUUGGAAUAGGGUUUAUUAGGCUAGAAAUUAUAUCUUUGAAAGUCUAAAUUUUAGCUUUAGGGUUUUGACAUUCUUGUGUUUUUAUCCAAUUUUUGAGAUUCUAGCUCGUAUUUUAGCUUUAUUAAUUGGAGAUUAAACCGAGUAACUAUAGGGUCUUGUUAAUCGAAUCAUAUCAAUUUCAUUCCAUAAAAUCAUUAGUUUUUUUAUAGCGAAACAGAAUUGUGGAGCAAAGCAUUGUCGUGUUUCUGAACCUUGUUUCUGUGGGUUAUAGUGUAAAUUUUACUUUGGCUUGGAAUGAUAUUAUGUUGAGUAGAUAGGUCUGCAUAUUGUUAAGCUAAUUUAUAUCUGAUAAUAUCUUUAUAUGUAUUAUUCUAUGGCAGAUGGAUCUGAUAGCUAAGUUAACCAUAAAAAUAUCGUGGAUUACAAGGACAUUUUGGUAGAGAAGGUAUUAUGUUAUUUAGUUAAUAGAACAUGAUUUGGAACUGAAAUGAUUAUCCUUGACUUGAGAAAACUUCAAUAUCGAGUUGCCUCAAAACAUGAUUAAUUUUGUUUUUCUUUAAGGGGAACUGGAUAUGCAGCGUUACCAACUAUUGUAAAGGUGGAGAUAUGAGAGUGUUUAUCCUAAGCUUGCAAGCAUUUCUAUACUUGUUGACAUAUGAACUUGUUCUAUUUCUAAUUACUUAUAUUAAUGGGGACACUUCGGUAGUUUAGCCUGAUUCCUCCAGGUGCUGGUGGGAUAUUUACACAUUCUUUUGCUAGUGUUGCAUUCUGGUUAAAGGUUUCUUUUCAUUCACCCUUCUUUGAGAUAAACUAUCUAAUUAUUGAAGUAAAGUUCACUGAAUUUGUAUUUAUUCCCCAUAAGUUAAUUUUGUAUACUGAUGUCAGGUUAGGGAGGUUGGCCAGUAUGGUGAUGGAAUUUAAUCCCUCAUUAAUAAUGUUGAGAGUUUCUUUGCUUAGGGAAAACUAUAAGAAGUUUGUGAUGCCCUUGAGAAUGGUUUAAAGGACACUCAUGCAGCAACAAUCAUUGAUGAUUGUGUUAUGCGUGCUAGGAACACAGCUAUAACCGAGCAAACACUAACCUUGCUGCAAGCUUAUGCAGCAGUAUUAGCACUUGAAACAAUGAUCAAUUAUAGCAAUCAAAUGUCCAGUUUACACUACUUCUGCUGUCGUUUGUAUGUAUGCCCUGGUGGAGAUUUAAGUUUUUCAAUCAGUUACUUGUUAUCUCGUCUGAUGAACGCAACUUUUUAAAUCAAGGAGAUCUGAUGUGUAAGUUGUCUGUUAGUUUUUUUCAGCUCAAAUUAGACUGAGAAUAAUAAUGUGAACCAGAACAAGGAUCACAAGCAAAAAAAUGAAUACAACACAUUGUUUCCUAACAGAAGUACAAGAUGAGACAAAGACCGACAAUGCUGUGUUACCAAGUUUUUCAAGAAUUUCUAGCACUAUAUUAUAGCAUUUUGCAGCAGCUAUAUAAAUUGAUCUUAUAACUUGUGCACUGAUUUAAUAACCUGCAGACACACAAUCCUAGAAGGAAACCUGGAGCCACAACUACGCACACAAAUCAGCAACCAAAUCAGGAGAAGACAAAUGAAAGUUUUGCUAGCAUAAGAAGUAAAUUGAGCCACUUCCCCAAGGUCAUAAUUAACAAGACCUGAUCUCUUUAAUCUUCUCCUGAUUUGGUUGUUGAUUUUUGUGUGUAGUUGUGUCUCCAGCUUCCCUGCUAGGAUCUUGUAUUGGUUAUAGGAUCAAUUUAUUCGUUCUUUUUUCUGGCCUAAAUAAAUACCUGAUAUCUGCUAUUUUCUAUACAGAAAAGAAAGAAUGUUUAUCCUAGAAUUGCGUAGUUUAGAGGCUUUUUUUUUUUAUUCUUUUCUUGACUGAGCCUUGAUGAUUAUCCUUCCCUACUUUGUUUUCAUUUAUUUACUGAAAAGUUUUGUUCUGUCCCAUGGUAUUGACAUUUUUUUCCUUUUCUUAUAAGGUUAUGCAUGAUAAUUUUUACCACAUGCAUCAGAUAGAGAAGGUAAUGAUCUUUUACCAUCAUAUUGCCCCCCACCCCCUACCCCCCCACUCCCACCCCGUUAGUUUUAUCACCAACAUAUCUUGUGAAUUUCUUGUUACAUAGUAUACAAAUUGAGUUUUUUUGUUCUUUGUCUGCAAUGCUAGUACGAUCAUCUAGAGUUUCCUAGAGUUGAACCUUGCACAUUUAUCGAUAAGUUUUCUACUUCAUCUAAACUUAUCAAGAGAUUGUAGUACUUAUUUUUACCAUGUGAGAUGAUUCAGCACGAAUGCCCAAUUUGAUAUAGUUUGUUAACAUGGAAGAAGAAAUGUUAAGCGUAGAGCUGGAGAGCAAGAAGAAGAAGCUUGAUUCUUGGGGCAGAGAACUGAAUAAACGUGAAGCCUUAACUGAGCGAGAAAAGAAAAAGCUUGAAGAGGAGAAAAAACAGGUAUCAAAUUCCAGCAUGAGUUAAAACUAUAUAUAAAUAUUUCUCUUAUCAUGAUAAAGCCGUGGUGGAUUACAUUAUUUUGGCGCUCCAUUUUGCCUAUAUUAUGUGGAUACUGGGUAGGAUGUAACUAUCAAGCUUCUGGACCCCUAACUCUUUCGAACUAUAAAGUGUUGAGCUUUAUUUUGUUGAUUCAAAAUGAUGUGAGAAAUUUAGCACUUCAAAUGGCCUCUGUGGAAAAAAGAAUGGCUUAUGGGAAUGUCUUAAAGACUUGUCGAAAAACAAAAGGUAUAUUUCAAUGGUAUUGUUUCAUUUAAAGUUAGCGAUUUCCCUCUUUCAGCUGACAAGAACUUUAAUUUUGUACGUUGUUGCUGGCAGUUUCUGUAUAUAACAGAUUUUGUGUUAUGGGCUACUUAUAACAUCAUCAGCUAUGAUUCAAGUUCUUUAAGUUGCUUGUUAUAAAGCUUCUAUAUUAAUUGAUUUAAGCAUGCUAUGUGUACCAUACUCAGAUAUGAUUCAAGUCCUCUUAGUUGCUUGCGUCGUAGUUUCUGUGUGUUAACUGCUUUUUUACAUGCAAUGUAGGCUAUUGUUAACAUCUUCGAUUGUGAUUCAAUUCCAUUAAAUUGUUUGUGUAAGCUUUUGCUUGACUUGCCUUGAUAUUUAUUAGUAUUAUCAAGUAUGUAUAAUCCUUAGAAUUAACUCUAAUUUUUUGUAAACUAAUCCUUGAUUGGUAAUAGAAAGUUCCACUAGUUGGCUAUGUUUUAUUUUGAAUGCCUUGUGUAGAGCUUCUUAGCUUUUUAAACUGUAUUGGUUAGUACUAUGACUACAUACUUCUUAUCAAGUAUUUGUUGCUUAUACAAUACCUCAACGACGACUCUUUACAUCUCAUGUUCCACUAUAGCUUUGAAAAUUAAAUCUAUGAAGCUUUAAACUUUUUGGUGUGAUCGACUAUCUAUUAAUAUUGCCCAUUGUAUUUCAAGUUUAUAGCUAUGUUUCACUAAACUAUAUGGAAUAACAAUCUGAGAUCAAUGACAAUAUGAGAGGUGUACUAAUAGACUGGAUCAUUGAGUUAAAUCUAAUAUUUGGAACUAAUCAGAAUUAAUUAAGGUAUACAUUCCAUUAUUAUGUUAAUUAACUUGCUUAUAAUGAUAUUCUAAUAAACCAGCAGGUACAUGACAAGUUAGAGCUCAAGCAAGAGACAUUAUUCCUUGCUGUUAAUUCGUUAGACAGAUUUCUGGAAAAACAAGUUGCCAAAAACAAGCUGCAGCUUGUUUGUCUUGUUACCUUUCUAAUAGCGAGCAAAUAUGAAGAAAUUUUGCCUCUUGUGCACGGAUUGUGAUUAUUUCAUAUGAAAUCUUCACAAGAAAAGACAUUCUUGAAAUGGAAAAUGCCAGUAAUUGAAUUUGAGUUGUGGACAAAAGUAAUCUCGAUCUAUUGUAGUGAACGAUGAAGAGUUUUUGUACUAUUAUUAUAUAUUAUUAAAUGCAUUUGAUUUUGUGGAAUUUAUUAAAACUAGUUGUACAAUACAUGUUUCUCGAAAUUUAUCUGAAAUAUAUCCUUUGAUUUAAUUAUCAGUUAA
This is a non-coding RNA of Solanum lycopersicum (tomato), 4316 nucleotides long. NCBI's taxonomy places the organism in Eukaryota, Viridiplantae, Streptophyta, Magnoliopsida, Solanales, Solanaceae. The record is from RefSeq and is a predicted model, not a curated record.